This 923-nucleotide ribosomal RNA is filed under the name uncultured Bacteroidota bacterium. RNAcentral's name for it is "bacterial SSU rRNA". It matches the Rfam family "Bacterial small subunit ribosomal RNA", at positions 1 to 916 of the family's 1533-position model. Lineage: Bacteria; Pseudomonadati; Bacteroidota. The record is from RNAcentral.
GGAUCAGACUUUGAUUCUGGCUCAGGAUGAACGCUAGCUACAGGCUUAACACAUGCAAGUCGAGGGGAAACGACAUCGAAAGCUUGCUUUUGAUGGGCGUCGACCGGCGCACGGGUGAGUAACGCGUAUCCAACCUGCCCACCACUUGGGGAUAACCUUGCGAAAGUAAGACUAAUACCCAACGACAUCCCACGAAGGCAUCCGAAUGGGAUUAAAGACUUAUCGGUGAUGGAUGGGGAUGCGUCUGAUUAGCUUGUUGGCGGGGUAACGGCCCACCAAGGCAACGAUCAGUAGGGGUUCUGAGAGGAAGGUCCCCCACAUUGGAACUGAGACACGGUCCAAACUCCUACGGGAGGCAGCAGUGAGGAAUAUUGGUCAAUGGGCGAGAGCCUGAACCAGCCAAGUAGCGUGCAGGAUGACGGCCCUAUGGGUUGUAAACUGCUUUUAUAAGGGAAUAAAGUGAGUCUCGUGAGACUUUUUGCAUGUACCUUAUGAAUAAGGACCGGCUAAUUCCGUGCCAGCAGCCGCGGUAAUACGGAAGGUCCGGGCGUUAUCCGGACUUAUUGGGUUUAAAGGGAGCGUAGGCCGGAGAUUAAGCGUGUUGUGAAAUGUAGUGGCUCAACCUCUGCACUGCAGCGCGAACUGGUCUUCUUGAGUACGCACAACGUGGGCGGAAUUCGUGGUGUAGCGGUGAAAUGCUUAGAUAUCACGAAGAACUCCGAUUGCGAAGGCAGUUCACGGGAGCGCAACUGACGCUGAAGCUCGAAAGUGCGGGUAUCGAACAGGAUUAGAUACCCUGGUAGUCCGCACGGUAAACGAUGGAUGCCCGCUGUUGGCCUGAAUAGGUCAGCGGCCAAGCGAAAGCAUUAAGCAUCCCACCUGGGGAGUACGCCGGCAACGGUGCAACUCAAAUGAAUUGACGG